This 20-nucleotide ribosomal RNA is filed under the name Cladosporium sphaerospermum. RNAcentral describes it as "partial 18S ribosomal RNA". Lineage: Eukaryota; Fungi; Ascomycota; Dothideomycetes; Cladosporiales; Cladosporiaceae. The record is from RNAcentral.
GCUACUGCGGAGGGACAUUA